ACUGCAGUGGCUGCAGUCGAUUCUCAGACUUCUUAAUGCCCUCAUGUUAAAGGAAAAUGAAAUUCUAGUUUAGUGAAGGUUUGCAGGAGUUUUCUGGCCACUUGGUGAUUUCUUAUAGGUAGACAGAGAAUAAAUACUUUAUAGCCUCGUCUGUCUAGGCAUCAUUUCAAUUUAGGACUGGUUUCCUGGGCAUUGAAUUAAACAAAGAUAAUGUAGCAAUACUUCCAUAGAUCUAUUUUCAGUUUAUGUAUUAUAUAAAUGUCAUUAACUUCACUUGAUUGCAUCUGAUUGUAUUUUGGAAAAUCCUGGACAUGAAUAUGUAUUUAAGUCAUUAUUGCAAAUUACAAUAAAAUCGUACAAGAGUUAAUAGAGUACUACUUGUUGCACAACAGAAGUCAUUGGAAGCGUUACUAAGUAACCUCAGCGAGAACGAGUUACAUUACCAAGAAACACUUCUGGAUCUUAUUUACUUGUUUAUCAAGUAGAACUGAUUUUUUGCAGGACAGAAAUUAGGAGCUCAUUGUAGCCUUCAUUUAAUCCCACAAAAUCCCCAUUAACAAGUGUUAAGUGCCCUUGCUAAGGGUAGAUUCUUAAGCUUAACACCUAGUUGAUAUUUGCUGUUAUCUAAAUUAUUAAAGUCAAGAUUUGCUUAAUGGUUAAGUUUUUUUGUUUUAAUCCAGCUAUGUUAGAUACUAAAGAAGGCUUCCCCACAACCCAUAUGCAUCUGCUUUGACUGGUGGUUUCUAUCAUCCUACAAAGACUGUGACUUAUUGGUGAGGGCAGCUGGACAACUCUGAGAGCAACUUAGAGAAAUCCAUCUUGGGCACACUCUAUAAAGGAGCUCCUUCUCUGCAAAUAGCACCCCAGAUAAGUGCACAAAAGCAAGAUACCCUCGUGGACCUACACGUCCUCCCGCUUUUCAACACCCUGAUGCCUGCAGCUAUGGUUGAUACUAAAGGAGGUUUUCCCACUAUCCGUAUGCAUCUUCUAUGUUUUGAAAUUGCAACUAUGGACAGUUAUGGCUAAUCCUAGUAGAUUGUCUUCCCUUCUUUUAACAUCUUGGAUGAAUUUGGGUCACACUAAUUGUUAUGUGAAGAUGGAUGUUGAAUUGUGUAGAAUUUGACAGCAGUAUCAAGAGCUGAGGAGAAGGAGAAGAUGGAAAGGAGUCUAGCAACUUAAAAAUCUCACAGCAUUCUCUGUGAGGUGACCUUUUUUCCUGUUGGUGGCUCAAUUUCUUUAGGACAUAAAGAAGAUACUGAGGCCUGUGACAGCCUGUGACAGUAUCAUCAAGUUGUAUCUGAACUUAUUGAACUGUUUCCUCCCCUUUCUUAUUCUUUAUUCACAGUUUACUUUUCAUGUGCAUAAGUUGACUCAUUUGUUUCCUGUUAGCAUUUGAAACACCAUAUAGCCACCAUAAGUCCUGACAAAAUGACUUCUAAUGAGGAGGGGGAAGGUCCACGUCCCACCUUCCUAUGAAAUUUUGGCCUAUUCACAAAUCUACCCCCACAUAAGAGAAGUAGUUAUGUUCUGUAAAGAAGAGGUUGAUAAAAACCUUUAGCAUGGUGUUUUGUGACUUAGAAGUUUUAAGUAGUCGUUCUUAUAUCUAAGCAUUUAUUAAUUUUGGUAAGAACAUUACCAUAUGUUUCUGAUGUCACUUCUACUGUUAAGAGGUGCCAGGCAUCUGGCGGCCUGCCACUUCAGGAUUUGUGUGAAUCGGACGAUCUAAAUAUAGUAUAAAUUAGAGACCAGUACUUGUAUUUCCUGAUUAAAAACAAACUAACCUCUGUUUCACUAUUGAAGUAAGAGUACUUUACAAUGAACACAAAAAAUGUAUAUUAAAUAUCCAGUAGCGCAUGCUAAA
This is a long non-coding RNA of Mandrillus leucophaeus (drill), 1861 nucleotides long. RefSeq lists it as uncharacterized. The record is from RefSeq and is a predicted model, not a curated record. Lineage: Eukaryota; Metazoa; Chordata; Mammalia; Primates; Cercopithecidae. The transcript has 3 exons.